This 292-nucleotide ribosomal RNA is filed under the name uncultured bacterium. Its description in RNAcentral is "partial 16S ribosomal RNA". RNAcentral also lists the same sequence under 2 other names. The record is from RNAcentral.
GGACUACACGGGUUUCUAAUCCCGUUUGCUCCCCUGGCUUUCGCGCCUCAGCGUCAGAAGGUGCCCAGUCCGCCGCUUUCGCCACCGGCGUUCCUUCGGAUCUCUACGCAUUUCACCGCUCCACCCGAAGUUCCGCAGACCCCUGCACCACUCGAGGCACCCAGUAUCGACAGCUCUUCUCCGGUUAGGCCGGAGGAUUUCACCACCGACUUGAGUGCCCGCCUACGCGCCCUUUAAGCCCAGUGAUUCCGAACAACGUUCGCACGGUUCGUCUUACCGCGGCUGCUGGCAC